UCAUAUAGCAGAUUGGCUCAACUCGAGUUCAUUUGUGAAUCUCAUAGAAACUCUUUUUAGUAUUCACUCUAACUCUGGUCAGAGACUUUCUGAACUCAGUCUUGCGAAUUACAUAGGACUACUUCUUUUGUAUCAAGAUCAAUAGAUUCCAUCUAGGUGCAUCCUACUCCAAACAGCGAAUCUGAAUCUACAAUAGCCAAUAUAUACAGCAA
This 212-nucleotide long non-coding RNA is filed under the name Elaeis guineensis (African oil palm). RNAcentral's name for it is "long non-coding RNA (EGUI_LNC057158)". Lineage: Eukaryota; Viridiplantae; Streptophyta; Magnoliopsida; Arecales; Arecaceae. The record is from RNAcentral.